CGGAUUGUAUCAUUUUUCGGUACUCCCAUAGAUUCGACCCUUUUCCGGUACUCGUGGGGACAACUUUUGGUUACUCGCACGGAUUCUACCUUGUACCUAUACUCGCCCGGAUUCUACCAUUUUUUAGUACUCGCAAAUAUUCGACCCUUUUUCGGUACUCGUGGGAACAACUUUUGGUUACUCGCACGGAUUCUACCUUUUCCCGGUACACGCCCGGAUUCUAUCAUUUUACGGUACUCCCACAGAUUCGACCCUUUUCCGGUACUCGUGAGAACAACUGUUGGUUACUCGCACGGAUUGUACCUUUUCCCGGUACACGCACGAGUUGUAUCAUUUUUCGGUACUCCCAUAGAUUCGACCCUUUUCCGGUACUCGUGGGGACAACUUUUGGUUACUCGCACGGAUUCUACCGUGUACCUAUACUCGCCCGGAUUCUACCAUUUUUCAGUACUCCCACAGAUUCGACCCUUUUCCGGUACUCGUUGGGAAAGUUUUCUCACACUCGCACGGAUUCUACCUUUUCCCCGUACUCGCCCGGAUUCUACCAUUUUUCGGUACUCUCAUAGAUUCGACCCUUUUUCGGUACUCGUGGAAACAGUUUUUGGAUACUUGCACGGAUUCUACCAUUUUCAGGUACACGCCCGGAUUCUAUCAUUUGUCGGUACUCCCACAGAAUCGACCCUUUUUCGGUACUCGUGCGAACAACUUUUGGUUACUCGCACGGAUUCUACCUUUUCCCGGUACUCGCCCGGAUUCUACCGUUUUUCGGUAUUCUUAUAGAUUUGACCAUUUUUCGGUACUCGUGGGAACAGUUUUUGGAUACUCGCACGGAUUCCACCUUUUGCCCGUACUCGCCCGUAUUCUACCGUUUUCGGUACACCCAUAGAUUCGACCCUUUUUCGGUACUCGUCGAGAAUGUUUUUUCACACUCGCACGGAUUCUACCUUUUCCCGGUAUAAGCCCGGAUCCUACCACUUUUCGGUACUCUCAUAGAUUCGACCCUUUUCCGAUACUCGUGGAAACAACUUUUGGAUACUCGCACGGAUUCUACCUUUUCCCGAUACACGACCAGAUUCUAUCAUUUUUCGGUACUCCCACAGAUUCGACCCUUUUCCGGUACUCGUGGGGACAACUUUUGGUAACUCGCACGGAAUCUACCUUUCCCGGUACUCUCCCGGAUUCUACCAUUUUUCGGUACUCCCACAGAUUCGACCCUUUUCCGGUACUCGUGGGAACUGUUUUUGGAUUCUCGCACGGAUUCAACCUUUUCCCGGUACACGUCCCGAUUCUAUCAUUUUUCUGUACUCCCACAGAUUCGACACUUUUUCGGUACUAGUGGGGAUAGCUUUUGGUUACUCGCACGGAUUCUACCUUUUCCCGGUACUCACCCGGAUUCUACCGUUUUAAGGUACUCUCAUAGAUUCGACCCUUUUCCGGUACUCGUGGGAACAGUUUUUGGAUACUCGCACGGUUUCUACCUUUUCCCGGUGCACGCCUAGAUUCUACCAUUUUUCUGGACUCCCACAGAUUCGACCCUUUUUCGGUACUGGUGGGGACAGCUUUUGGUUACUCGCACGGAUUCUACCUUUUACCUGUAGUCGCCCGGAUUCUACCAUUUUUCGGUAUUCCCACAAAUUCGACCCUUUUCCGGUACUAGUGCAGACAGUUUUAUGUUACUCGCACAGAUUCUACCUUUUCCCGGUACAUGCCCAGAUUCCAUCAUUUUUCGGUACUCCUAGAGAUUUGACCCUUUUCCGGUACUCGUGGGGACAACUUUUGAUUACACGCACGGAUUCUACCUUUUACUUGUACUCGCCCGGAUUCUACCAUUUUUCGGUACGCCCACAGAUUCGACCCUUUUUCGGUACUCGUUGGGAAAGUUUUUUCACACUCGCACGGAUUCUACCUUUUCCCCGUACUCGCCCGGAUUCUACCAUUUUUCGGUACUCU
RNAcentral lists this long non-coding RNA (1950 nucleotides) under Vitis vinifera (wine grape). Its description in RNAcentral is "long non-coding RNA (VVIN_LNC007899)". Lineage: Eukaryota; Viridiplantae; Streptophyta; Magnoliopsida; Vitales; Vitaceae. The record is from RNAcentral.